This 369-nucleotide ribosomal RNA is filed under the name Boophis periegetes. RNAcentral describes it as "partial 16S ribosomal RNA". It matches the Rfam family "Bacterial large subunit ribosomal RNA", at positions 2076 to 2597 of the family's 2925-position model. The record is from RNAcentral. Lineage: Eukaryota; Metazoa; Chordata; Amphibia; Anura; Mantellidae.
GGGGAUAUUUAUAUAAGACGAGAAGACCCCAUGGAGCUUUAAACCCGACAGCACCCGCCUAGCCCACGCCCCUCUAUUGACCCGGCCCCUGUCUGCUCGGUUUUAGGUUGGGGUGACCACGGAGUAUAAAAUAACCUCCACGAAGAAAGGAGUAAUAAUCCUCAUCUAAGAGCCACACCUCUAAGAGCUAAUACAUUAACUUUUAAUGAUCCGAUAUUUGAUCAACGAACCAAGUUACCCUGGGGAUAACAGCGCAAUCCGCCUCAAGAGCUCCUAUCGACAGGUGGGUUUACGACCUCGAUGUUGGAUCAGGGUAUCCCAGUGGUGCAGCAGCUACCAAAGGUUCGUUUGUUCAACGAUUAAAACCCU